UACGUAGGGGCCUAGCGUUGUCCGGAAUUAUUGGGCGUAAAGAGCUCGUAGGCGGUGUGUCGCGUCGGCCGUGAAAACCUGCAGCUUAACUGUGGGCGUGCGGUCGAUACGGGCAUCACUGGAGUUCGGCAGGGGAGACUGGAAUUCCUGGUGUAGCGGUGAAAUGCGCAGAUAUCAGGAGGAACACCGGUGGCGAAGGCGGCUACCUGGACAGAAACUGACGCUGAGGCGCGAAAGCUAGGGGAGCAAACAGG
RNAcentral lists this ribosomal RNA (254 nucleotides) under uncultured bacterium. Its description in RNAcentral is "partial 16S ribosomal RNA". It matches the Rfam family "Bacterial small subunit ribosomal RNA", at positions 524 to 776 of the family's 1533-position model. The record is from RNAcentral.